RNAcentral lists this ribosomal RNA (253 nucleotides) under uncultured bacterium. RNAcentral's name for it is "partial 16S ribosomal RNA". It matches the Rfam family "Bacterial small subunit ribosomal RNA", at positions 524 to 776 of the family's 1533-position model. The record is from RNAcentral.
UACGUAGGGGGCUAGCGUUGUCCGGAAUCAUUGGGCGUAAAGCGCGCGUAGGCGGUCCGGUAAGUCCGCUGUGAAAGUCGGGGGCUCAACCCUCGGAUGCCGGUGGAUACUGUCGGGCUUGAGUGCGGAAGAGGCGAGUGGAAUUCCUGGUGUAGCGGUGAAAUGCGCAGAUAUCAGGAGGAACACCAAUGGCGAAGGCAGCACUCUGGGACGUGACUGACGCUGAGACGCGAAAGCGUGGGGAGCAAACAGG